AGCAGGAGAUCAAUGAUCUGAGGAGGAGAGACGCUGAGCUGGAGCAGCUUUCACACACACAGGAUCACAUCCAGUUCCUGCAGAGUUUCCAGUCUCUCUCAGCACCUCCUGAAUCUACAGAUGUAAAUGACGAUCCAUUCAGUUCUCUCUUCUCUUCUGAUGGCCUGAGAGAAUCUGUCCGUCAGCUGAGAGAAAAACUGGAGCAUUUCUGCAAAGAGGAGCUCAAGAAGAUCUCAGACAGAGUCACAUUCACCAACAUUGUUCCUAGGAUCAGGAACGACUUCCUACAAUAUUCCCAUCAGCUCACUCUGGAUCUGAACACAGUGAAUAAACUCCUCCGACUGUCUGAGAGCAACAGAGUGAUUACUAACACUAACACAGUCCAGUCGUAUCCUGAUCAUCCAGACAGAUUUGAUGUGUAUCAUCAGGUGUUGUGUA
Sinocyclocheilus rhinocerous is the source of this 438-nucleotide long non-coding RNA. RefSeq lists it as uncharacterized. NCBI's taxonomy places the organism in Eukaryota, Metazoa, Chordata, Actinopteri, Cypriniformes, Cyprinidae. The record is from RefSeq and is a predicted model, not a curated record. The transcript is spliced from 4 exons.